CCUACGGGAGGCAGCAGUGGGGAAUAUUGGACAAUGGGGGCAACCCUGAUCCAGCCAUGCCGCGUGUGUGAAGAAGGCCAUCGGGUUGUAAAGCACUUUCAGUGAGGAAGAACGCCUGGUGGUUAAUACCCAUCAGGAAAGACAUCACUCACAGAAGAAGCACCGGCUAACUCCGUGCCAGCAGCCGCGGUAAUACGGAGGGUGCGAGCGUUAAUCGGAAUUACUGGGCGUAAAGCGCGCGUAGGUGGCUUGAUAAGCCGGUUGUGAAAGCCCCGGGCUCAACCUGGGAACGGCAUCCGGAACUGUCAAGCUAGAGUGCAGGAGAGGAAGGUAGAAUUCCCGGUGUAGCGGUGAAAUGCGUAGAGAUCGGGAGGAAUACCAGUGGCGAAGGCGGCCUUCUGGACUGACACUGACACUGAGGUGCGAAAGCGUGGGUAGCAAACAGGAUUAGAUACCCUAGUAGUC
RNAcentral lists this ribosomal RNA (465 nucleotides) under Vreelandella stevensii. RNAcentral describes it as "partial 16S ribosomal RNA". It matches the Rfam family "Bacterial small subunit ribosomal RNA", at positions 338 to 795 of the family's 1533-position model. The record is from RNAcentral. Lineage: Bacteria; Pseudomonadati; Pseudomonadota; Gammaproteobacteria; Oceanospirillales; Halomonadaceae.